CCCGUCUCAGGAUCGCACCUGGAGAGUUUCCAGUACUCUAUCAGUCUCGGUACAGGAGGGAGAGUCAAGCAGAGGCCUACCCUUUCCAUUCCUAGCUUGGGCAGUGGCUAGCAAAUGGAAGGCAAUCUGCUACAAGU
RNAcentral lists this small nucleolar RNA (137 nucleotides) under Ornithorhynchus anatinus (platypus). Lineage: Eukaryota; Metazoa; Chordata; Mammalia; Monotremata; Ornithorhynchidae. The record is from RNAcentral.